UCGAGAAUCUUUCGCAAUGGGCGAAAGCCUGACGAAGCGACGCCGUGUGAGCGAUGAAGGCCUUUGGGUUGUAAAGCUCUUUUGCCUGGGAACAAGAGACAGUGGUGAAUAGCCAUUGAAUUUGAGGGUACCAGGAGAAAAAGCACCGGCUAACUCCGUGCCAGCAGCUGCGGUAAUACGGAGGGUGCGAGCAUUAAUCGGAUUGACUGGGCGUAAAGGGCGUGUAGGCGGAGAGAUAAGUCAGAUGUGAAAGCCCGGGGCUCAACCCCGGAACAGCAUUUGAAACUAUUUUUCUAGAGGGUAGACGGAGGAAACGGAAUUCCACAAGUAGCGGUGAAAUGCGUAGAUAUGUGGAUGAACACCUGUGGCGAAAGCGGUUUUCUAGGUUAUACCUGACGCUGAGGCGCGAAAGCUAGGGGAGCAAACAG
RNAcentral lists this ribosomal RNA (428 nucleotides) under uncultured bacterium. RNAcentral's name for it is "bacterial SSU rRNA". It matches the Rfam family "Bacterial small subunit ribosomal RNA", at positions 355 to 775 of the family's 1533-position model. The record is from RNAcentral.